CUUCAACGACCCCAGCCACAGCGGGUUCUCGGCGGCGCGCCCGGUGCCGUACGUGGCGAGCAGGGCCUGCGCCUC
Molecule: antisense RNA, 75 nt
Filed under: Streptomyces ipomoeae 91-03
Lineage: Bacteria; Bacillati; Actinomycetota; Actinomycetes; Kitasatosporales; Streptomycetaceae
Description: ASpks TB sRNA
Rfam family: ASpks TB sRNA
Source: Rfam by way of RNAcentral